RNAcentral lists this ribosomal RNA (250 nucleotides) under uncultured bacterium. Its description in RNAcentral is "partial 16S ribosomal RNA". It matches the Rfam family "Bacterial small subunit ribosomal RNA", at positions 524 to 773 of the family's 1533-position model. The record is from RNAcentral.
UACGUAGGGUGCAAGCGUUAAUCGGAAUUAUUGGGCGUAAAGGGUGCGCAGGCGGAUAUAUAAGUCAGAUGUGAAAUCCCUGGGCUUAACCUAGGAAUUGCGUUUGAAACUAUGUAACUAGAGUGUAACAGAGGGGAGUGGAAUUCCAUGUGUAGCAGUGAAAUGCGUAGAGAUGUGGAAGAACACCGAUGGCGAAGGCAGCUCCCUGGGUUAACACUGACGCUCAUGCACGAAAGCGUGGGGAGCAAAC